RNAcentral lists this non-coding RNA (331 nucleotides) under Anaerotignum neopropionicum. RNAcentral describes it as "Clostridium neopropionicum cspA thermoregulator". It matches the Rfam family "cspA thermoregulator", at positions 90 to 428 of the family's 428-position model. Lineage: Bacteria; Bacillati; Bacillota; Clostridia; Lachnospirales; Anaerotignaceae. The record is from Rfam by way of RNAcentral.
UCUAGUCGAUAAUUAAUGUCGACUACGAUUUAAGAGCUUUUCUUAUAUGACCGAGAUAAAAUUUUUUAGGAGGUACUGAUUAUGAAUAACGGUACAGUAAAAUGGUUUAACGCAGAAAAAGGUUUUGGAUUUAUCACACCCGACAAUGGUGGAGAUGAUGUAUUUGUACAUUUCUCUUCCAUUCAGUCCAAUGGAUUUAAAUCCUUAAACGAAGGACAGAAAGUAUCUUUUGAUACAGAAGCUGAUCCUAAGGACAGCCGCAAAACACGCGCUGUUAAUGUUUGCGCAAUAUAAACCUUUACAAGGCCACUCUUCGGAGUGGCUUUUUCAU